Raphanus sativus (radish) is the source of this 1609-nucleotide long non-coding RNA. RefSeq lists it as uncharacterized. NCBI's taxonomy places the organism in Eukaryota, Viridiplantae, Streptophyta, Magnoliopsida, Brassicales, Brassicaceae. The transcript has 5 exons. The record is from RefSeq and is a predicted model, not a curated record.
UGAACUAUUUUUCUCUUGAACACUGGAAUAAUUUUCAGUUCACGUUAAAAUCGAUAAGUCCCACGAACUCUCUGUCUCCCUUGCUUUACAAUCAAAGGGUGAUGGGUAUGAAAACCGAAGAACACCUCUAACCCUAUAAAUCAGAGAUGGCUGAGAUUGGAAUCGAGCUUCAACAAACAUGCUCUAUGAGUAUUUCUUCACCGAAAACAUAGAUCCCUUCUUCGGAAAUAUCAUCCUCUCUGAUGCUACUGUUGCUCAAUCAUCCGCCAGCUACUCAACUAUCCGACAUGCGACUUCCCAAUUCAUUCGCUAUUCACUUCUCCGACUUGAAGGCGGCCGCAGCAAGGAGGUCGUUCCGACCAGACUCCUUAGGUCCUACGUCACUUUUGAUUAUCUUCGCCUUGAUCCGUUUUCUUUGAAUAUUAUUGUCUGUCUUCUCCGAUUCGAGGAUUCACGUAACAUCAAGAAGAACGGUGUGAGGAUAUCACUCUCCUGCUUCUAGAUGAGAAGCUUGAGAGUUGAAGAAAUAGAGGCUUUCCCACGUGUUGAGACAAUGGGAGUAAUUCAGCAGAAAUAUCAGGUCUUAAUUGCAGACCUUCAGACGUAUCUCUCAAAGUCAAACUACCAUGUUUCCAUAACUCUAUUAUCCUAUCAUGUGAAAACUAUUUACAAAUUAAACUAUUCCCAGCUAAUGUUCUCUCCAUUGUCUCCGUAGAGACUCAUGCAGUUGCUUUUACAUGUUGAAUCAUGUCAUGAUGGAGUAGAUGUCGGAUGGUCAAAUUUAUCGGAUAUGAACGUUCACGAGGGAAAGCUUCUUGGUUGCUCAUAUAAUCCAAAUUGUGUAGACCUCUCGCGUACUGAGUCUAUGAGUGGAGGUGCCACUCAGAACGGUCCUAAUCAGUGAGCAAGCAGUUGAAUCCAGAGCCGAACGUGUCGUUAUUGGAAGAACUAUGCCAUAUUCGUUGCAGUCCAAGGCGGCUAAUUCUCGGAGGCUGUCUAGCAUCAGAAAUGAGCCGGAUCUACUAACUGAUUCGCUUCUUGAAAGAUCUCAGUCUCAGCCGACAGAACCAAGCAAUUUAGAAGACGGAAUUACAUUUAUAAGCUCUGAUCGUCCGUGCGUUGCAAGUGGUCCUUCAUUUCUUACACCGGUUGCAGCAGGAAGUUGAACAAAUUGGGGGCAACCAAUGAAGUACGCGGAUUUGUUGUAUCAUAUGCAAGUUGUACCAAAAUUUGAAGACAGGCCUCAUAAUACCCUUUCUUACAGGUACUGCAGGAAGAAUCAGAUGGAAAUACACAUCUACGGAAGAUGUCAAAUGCAGUAACAACUUUGAAUUAUGAGUUUCGUACCAUUGGGGGAUGGGCCAUUACACUGUACUAUUUUUACAGCCCAAACAAUAAAAAGACCAAGAAGAAAGUCCACACACGAACAGCAAAUUAGAAGUCAAUUCCUACUCUCUCCGGAAACAAAACAAAGAAUAAAAUUCCUGGACACUGUAUUUUGCAACGACCGUCUAUCUUUGCAAACAAAAAAAAUCUGAAUUGAUCCACUGUAUGGCAAAAGCACAACAAAGUAUUAUUUUCGUGACUAAUGACACCUCUUACAUCUCAA